GCGGCUGGACGCCGCGGGGGCGGGAGAAGCGGCGCCGAGAGGCCGCAGCCGGCGGGGGGCGGGAACCCGAGGGGUGCGGGCGCCGCCCUCUCCCUGCUCGCGCGCGCCUCGGACACGGUCGUCUCACGUCUGAAAAAUUCAGCCAGCUUCCCAGUUUUGUUUCUGCGGGGGCAGUAGCAGGCCGAUGUUGGAGGGAAACGUAGCCAUAUCUGUACAUAAUAUUCCGAGGUUCGUCUUUUAAGGGCAGAUUUGGGAGACUCGUAAGAAACAGUACAGUAUUCCUAAGGCAAAAAUGGUCCGUGCAUUUAAAUGCUAAGAAUUAGAACAAAUCAAUUAAUGUUGGUGAAAUGGCUUUGCUAACUGCAAAAUAUAUUAUUAAUUGUUAAUUAUUCACCAUUAAAACAGGAAGCCCCAAAUGGACAAAUAGUAAGAUGGUUCAGUCAAUAGUUUGUAACUUGUUUGAUAGGUGCAGGGCAUUCAGUAUUGUAUUUUCUAUUCUGUUUAUCAGAUGAUACUGGAAAACAGAGAGGGAAAGAAUCUGGAGGGAUUCUGCUAAAUGCAUACGACAGCGGCCCACGGGGAGCCUUGGAAGCUGCUGCCGCAGGGCAUCGUGAGAGCACCCUUCGGCGUAUCACUAGCCUGGGAACAGAUCCAGUUCCAAGGACGGUGUCUACUCAAUGCCUGUCGCUCUCACACCAGCAUAAAGUCAAAAAAAUCGUGACAAAGGAUAUCACAGCACCUGCCUUGUUACUCUCUCACUCUUGGAUCACUCACUUUGGAGGAAGUCAGCUGCCAUCUCAUGAGCAAGCCCAUGGAGGAGCCCACGUGGAGAGGAACUGGAGCCUCUUGCCAUUGGACAUGCGAGCAAGCCUAGAAGCAGAGCCUCUAGCUCCAGGUGAGUUGUCAGAUGACUGCAGCUCUAGCUGCCAUCUUGGUUGCAAGCUCAUGUGGAUCCCUGAGCCAGAAGCAGUUAAGCCACCCCUGAACCCACUCCCAGAACCUGGGAGAUAAUUUGUUAACAAUAGAUCAAUAAUUCUGAGACUUUUUGAAACUUACUAAUAGUCAGAAAGCUAGUGUCCAACUUAAAAUGAGAACAGAGGGCUGCAGGCUCUCAACUCAAUAUUCUGUUAGAUAUGCUGUAUUCUGAUAUAUCUUGGACUUCUUUUGUACUGAACACAUGCACUACCUAAAAAAGGUUCAGUGGAUCACAGUUUUGCUUUUUCAUCAAUGAAAGAAAGAAAGAAAGAGAGA
Molecule: long non-coding RNA, 1251 nt
Organism: Mirounga angustirostris (Northern elephant seal)
Lineage: Eukaryota; Metazoa; Chordata; Mammalia; Carnivora; Phocidae
Exons: 3
Source: RefSeq, a predicted model, not a curated record